Molecule: ribosomal RNA, 433 nt
Filed under: uncultured bacterium
Lineage: Bacteria
Description: partial 16S ribosomal RNA
Rfam family: Bacterial small subunit ribosomal RNA
Source: RNAcentral
AACGAACACUGGCGGCAUGCCUAACACAUGCAAGUCGAACGAGACCUUCGGGUCUAGUGGCGCACGGGUGCGUAACGCGUGGGAACCUGCCCUUAGGUUCGGAAUAACUCCCCGAAAGGGGUGCUAAUACCGGAUAAUGUCUUCGGACCAAAGAUUUAUCGCCUUUGGAUGGGCCCGCGUUGGAUUAGCUAGUUGGUAGGGUAAAAGCCUACCAAGGCGACGAUCCAUAGCUGGUCUGAGAGGAUGAUCAGCCACACUGGGACUGAGACACGGCCCAGACUCCUACGGGAGGCAGCAGUGGGGAAUAUUGGACAAUGGGCGAAAGCCUGAUCCAGCAAUGCCGCGUGAGUGAUGAAGGCCUUAGGGUUGUAAAGCUCUUUUACCCGGGAUGAUAAUGACAGUACCAGGAGAAUAAGCUCCGGCUAACUCCGUG